Tigriopus californicus is the source of this 1211-nucleotide long non-coding RNA. RefSeq lists it as uncharacterized. The record is from RefSeq and is a predicted model, not a curated record. Lineage: Eukaryota; Metazoa; Arthropoda; Copepoda; Harpacticoida; Harpacticidae. The transcript has 6 exons.
UGUCAAUUGGGGAAUCUUGCUCAAUGUAUCUCCACAUUCAAAGUGACAUUUCGAAGACUGAUACAAUUCGUUAAGGAUGUAAAUUCGAUAAAAAUCCACUUUUAUUGCACUUGAGAAAUGGGAGGCCAAACUGAAGCCCGCUGAAAGUUAGAGGAACUUCAGAAUUCUACCGGCAUAAUCAUUGCCACACGCAGAACACAAGGUACCAAUACCACUACCACAGCAUAACGGAGUGCUCUACAGUGAGGUAGCUGAAUAAGGAGAGGGUUCUUUUUGGGAUCGAGUUUCCAUUUCAACUUGUUGAUGGUCUGAAUGGCAAAAGAAGCAAGGAGAAGAGGGAACAUUUUCCAACCACAGCCACCACCACCACCACCACCAACAGUAACACGGUAACAGCCAGCGGGUUUGGGGACUUUCAGGGUAUCACUUCAAGUGGGAGAGCGACGACUUACUCAUCUCUACCCAGUAUAACACGGUAUGUCCUGUCGGCCAAGCACGAAGUCUGAGGAUAUUAAUACCCCAAGGACAAGGAAGGACAGGAUCCGAAUCCGAAUCCGAGUUCUUAUCAGCCGGUUUCAUGCUAACAUACUUCAUAAUUCGUGACAUUUUCCCAAGACUUCAUCGGACUCUUUCUCAACCUUUUUUUACGAUUUCGCCCGAAUUUCUUCAUGCGAUAUCAUGACGAUCCGAUUUUCCAUCCUGGCGGUACAGCCCCGCUUCGAACCUGACAUAGUGCUCCUUGAAUUGAAUUGCUCAUAAUGGUUCUUGAUCUCCUGCUGACAGGAUCUGAGCAUUAUCUCACUCACUCACUCACUCGGCCAAAUCAUCCAUGUCGUCAUAUGGAACCUAAUUGAUCCACCCUCCACAUUCCAGGCUCUAAAAAGCUCAAACGUGGCAAAGCUCAUCUCUCCCUUUGAAAGCCAAUUGAUCGGGAUAUUGGAAGUUGUGGCUUCCUCAAUGCCAAAAGAACUGGGUGUGUAAGCCAAGCCACCAAGUUCCCUUAUGGAGCACCAAUCCCACCCAAUGGACUUUGGGGGAACGCCAAGUCAAGCAACAGGCCUCACGAAUCACUGUUAAAAAGUUCACAUCUUUAUGUGAAAAAAAAACCUGUUUAUUGUCAUGUGUUCAAGUGGGCAAUUUCAACAAUGACAAAAGAUGCGAUAUUUGGGAAUUUGAAAUGGAAAAAGUAAAGUAGUAGUCACCUGGAGUAU